UUUUUUGGGUAAAAUUAGUCUAGGUGAAACUGAGAAAGCUCUGGCUGCUGGGGAAGGUAUUUAGGGUGAUGGGAACCAUAUUUAUGGUCUUUUACUAAUUAUUAUAAGGCCUAUGAAUGGUGUCAUAAAUAAAGUUGCAUGUAUAAGAGACUAAAUAACUGAAACGUUAAAAAUUCAUUCUCUAACUUCAUUUCUGUGACUUUAGUGCUUAUCAUUUGCAACAAUUCAGCUACAAAUAGAGGAAUACACACACAAAAUUAUGCAAUCAAGUAACCGAUUUUAUGAGAUGCUUUAUGUACAAAGAUAUUUGGUUGAUGCAAGUUACUCCAUAAGAAGAAGAUAGAAUAUGUAUGAUUAUGAAUCAUAUAUGCAUUUGUUAAGAAUCUACCCAUGAGCCAGGAUCUGUACUACUCAUUGUAUAUCAAAUGAUGAAUAAGCCACGGUUCUUUUCUCUAGGAGUUUACACUGUCCCAGAUUAAUAAAUAAAUACCUGGAGUAAGGAACUUGAUGAAAAAGAAAUACUCUACAGGGUAUAAAAUUUGAAAAUGCAUGCACAGUCUUUCAGGUCCUUCAUACAAAGCACACAUAUAUCUUUAUACCUCUUAGAAUUUGCUUGUUAAUACCCAUGUGGAAGUUCAGGAGGCUGACAAAGGAAUCUCAAUAUAAGAAAUAUUUGAUGGAACCAGAGUAUUGGCUAGUCUCAUUUGAAUUGUAAGAAAUGUUUCAGAGAAUAUUCAAAAACCGUUCUUAUAGCUCGAGCGAUGGAAGAUAAUCUAGUUUAAGACUAACACUAUUCAAAAGCAUUAUGUAUUUAAAAGAGUGCUUUAUGAUUAGGUAUAAUUGGUUGUAGUAGUGAUAAGACACUGGAAAAAAAUGUCAUUAUUCGUUACUAUUUUUUAAGAUAAGAGAAGCCUGACAUUAUGGAACAAUUUUCACUACCAUGAUGUAAAAAACUGUACCAAUAAGGAGAAUUUUAAAAAUAAAGCAAAAAAAGUACAAUGCUUCAAAUACUAUCCUCUUUUUUUUUUUUUUUUCACUUAGAAAAUGGUUAAGAGCAGUUCAGCCCUACAAUUUUUUUCCAGCAGAGAAACAAGGACAGUCAGUGUUAGCAGCAAUAGAGGACCCUCAUGAAACCAUGGCCAUUUCUGCUUUUGAACAUGGUCAAUACCUAAUUUUUCCUCCAUCUUGCUGCAGAAUCCCCCACUGAUUUAUUCAUUUUUAGCUGGCACUCUUUACUCUUUUUAAGUGUCUGCCAAAAUCUUCUACUUAACUACUAUGGCAAGAAAAAAAGUCAUCAAAUUAGGAGAGUGAAGAAAGAAUAAGACCAUUGUCUGUGCAAGUACCUUCCAAACUGGCCUGUCAUUUUCCCCUGGAAGGGAGAUUUGAAUUGAAUCAACUGCACAAAAUCUUAGGUUCUGUUCUCGGACUUAUCACUAUGAUUUCAUGUGAGUUCAAAUCUCUUCAAUCUUACCAGCCUUCCUUCUUUAGAGGGAAGACAAGUUGUGUAUGAUUUCUUGUGUUGCAUAUAUAUGGGCAAGCGUCUGGUUAUGGCUAAUUGGAUACCUGAUAGCUUUGACUUUUGGGAGGUGUCUCCCUUUAAUUUUUUUUUGUUUGAUGGUAUUAGAUGAUUUCAGUAAUUCUAGUAUAAACAUAUAUGUAUCUCUAUAUAUGUCAUGUGUACCUAUGUGUGAGUGUAUGUGUAUAGCAUAUAAUGUGUGUAGCUUUAUAAAAGAUAGCUUUAUAAUAAGCACAUUGUUUAUUGUCCUUUGACCAAGUACAAGGGCUAAUUUGAGAACUUUUGGAAUGAUAGUCAGAAAUCUCUCUGAUACCUUCAUGCAUCUGCGUGCCUCUAAGAAUAGAAAUGAAUAUGAUAAUUCAGCAUGGUAACCGUGCAGAUCAGAAAAUAAAACCCAUUGGUUUUUCUUACAAAACAAAAACUGAAAUGUGAAGUUUUGCUGUUAUUGUUGUUGUUUUAGACCAGAGGCUGGCAUUUCUUCUGGUUUCUCUCUCAUCCCCCAAGGCCAUUUUCCCCCACCACUCUUGAUAUGAUGACUCUCCACUAACCCCAACGAGGGGAUCUAGUUUGAAAGCUCAAGAAAAUUCAACGCUAACUGCUAUUUGCACCAAUAAAACAUGGUAUGUUAUCCUUGCUGAUAAACAUACAUAAAAAUCCUCAAUCUUUCCUCCAAAUUUUACAAUUCUCUGAGUAAAUUAAUAAAAAAGAAACAAUUCUAUUAGCAUGAAUAAAAUUAUUAUGUAAAUUGGAGUUCCCAUCGAGGCACAGCGGAAACAAAUCCGACUAGGAAUCACAAGGUUGUGAGUUUGAUCCCUGGCCUCGCUUAAUGGGUUAAGGAUUCGGCAUUGCUGUGAGUAGUGGUGUAGGUCAAAGACGUGGUUCAGAUCUGAUGUUGCUGUGACUGUGGUAUAGGCUGGCAGCUGUAGUUCCAAUUUGACCCCUAGCCUAGGAACCCCCAUAUGACGUGGGUAAGGCCCUAAAAAGCAAAAAAAAAAAAAAAAUUAUUAUGUAAAGAACUUUAGCUAAGUAAACAUAAGUGAUGGUAAAUCAUAGGCAUAGAAUCUUUUUAAAAAAAUUUUUAAGAGUAUAGUUGAUUUACAGUGUUGUGCCAAUUUCUGCUGUGCAGAGGCAUAGAAUCUCUAUUGUUUCUUCUGUCUGGAAGGAGACUUUUCUAGUCUUUGCCUGCUUUCUUGUGUCUCAUUGAGGUUACAGUUCAAAUACCAUCUACUGAGAAUGGCGAUUUUUAACUAUCCCAUCUUACAAAGCAUCCCAGGCUCCCAUCUCCCCAUUACCUUGUUUAGUUUCUAUGCACUUUGAUCUCUAUUUAUGUUCUUUUGUUAAUUGGCUGGCUGCCUCUCCCACUAGCCUGUAAAGCUUCAUAAGAGCUGAGAACUUUACUUGCCAAAUCACACACUAUUUCUAGCACCUAGAAACAUGCUUGGCAUAUAGUAAGUACUCAUGAAUAUCUGAUCAGUGAAUGAAUGGACACAUAAAAUGCUCUUGUUUUUGCUGUAAAGGAAAGGAUUGUAUAAAAAUAAAAGGAUGACCAAUUGCAAGCCAAACUCAAAACUAAUUUUACAUAGAAGUACUUGUAAUUUACCAGACAAUACUUACUGCACACUUGACUUCUCAGACCUCAGUUGUAUUAAAUUUCCUGAAAUUUUUUGUAUAAUUGCCAUCCUACAUAAGUGUGAAUAAUAUGCAAAAUGAAUAAUAACAAAUAAUAGCAAAUGCAAAGUAUUACAGAGAAAUAAAAUGGCUUCUCCAUGUGACAACUGGCUCAAAGUUGAAUUCUUAAAUAAUUGAAUUAGAAUCAGUACUUUUUUUUAAAAAUGAAUUUGCAGAUUGAGACAAUAAUUCUAUCCACACUAUAAACUCAUGAAACAUAGCAAUUAUAAAUUAAUCAAAGUACACAGUAGCAAUAAAAAUUCAUAAGCUAGUUCCCUCAUAGGAAGGUCAUCUAUGAACAACCAAUCAAGCAGUGUAGUACAAAGCAACAGGAAUUAUUCAUUUUGAUCUGUGUUCUGAUGGUUAAAUGCUAUUGCACUGUUUUUGAAUUCUCAUUGAAAGGAAGAACUUUAAAACAAUGGUGUUUUCUUAGCCAUAAAAUCAAAAUCUGAGUUGCAUGAUUCUUAAAGUUCUUCUCAUGGUCAUCUUUUUUGCUGUUAAAAUAUUAUAAAUUAUUAUGAUUCAAAAUCAUAAUAUAAUUACAGGAAAUGAUGGUUUGAAAGGAUUUUGAUCAAAUUAUUUUACAAGAGCACUUGCUUACAACACUUUAUUUUUCUAUGUUUAAGCGUCAGAUCUGCCAUAAGGCAGAAGUUUUGUUAGCAGUUGCAAACUAGAAAAAUUCAGUUGCAGAUUCACAAUAGGCAUUUUCAUAUGUUUUGAAUAGAACAUCCAAAUUCAUUCUCUAUUGUAUUGAGACAAUGUAUAUAAAAAUUAUGUUUUGUAAACUAACCACCUUUCCUUGGCCUUGCUGCAGGGAAGUUUUAUUUUUAAUGUUAAACCCCACUGAUGAUGAUCUAUGUGAUUCAUUUCAAUAUCUGUACUCAAAAAGCGAAAAUUUGAUAAAUAUAAUAAAAUUUCAGAAUGAGGGUUUGUGUUACUAUAAAAGGUGGACAUAUGUGGGGAAAUGUGUAUUUGCUAAACUAGAAUCUUUUUUUCACUGUAAUGAUAACUGAUUCUCUUUCUCUAACGUAGUAUCUUCCAAGUCAGACCACUAAGAAAAACUGAUUCUGAAAAUCUGACAUAACUGUGCCGGAAUUUCAUGUGAUUAUGUUGAAGAUUUUCUAUCAAGAACAUGUCCUUACAUAGCUGAAGGUUUGGGAAACUAGAAGACCUCUAAAAAUUAAAUGUCAGUUUGUUAAAAUCAGUGACAAAUUAGAAGAAUUUAUUAUGAAACAACAUGGAGACUUAUAGGUUUACAUCUAGUACAGCCAACUGGAGACUCUCUUUGGUCAUUACAAUGUAAAGGCAUUUUGAAAUAUUUUUGAAACACAAGUUUGGAGUCAAAAUAAUUUCUGAGCCUCUUUUUCACUGCACUGAAGAAAAUUUUAGUUAUUUACCCAAAGAUGCUUGCAAAGCCCUAAUACCUUGAGAAGAAAUUGAUAUAGAUGGUAAUUGAUUAACUGAUGCAUUGGUCCUGGACAACAGAGUUUCUAAGUCCCCCAUGUCUUCUUGCAAGACUAAGUUGCAAUAUGGAAUUGUAUAUAUUAUAAAGUCACCCCUCCGAACUUGUAUGUAAUUCAUACCAUCCAGUUACAUUCUUAAAUUUUUCUAGAAAAAGUUAAAUUCUUAAAUUUUUCAGACCAGGCCAUGGCUUGAUUCAGUGUAUAUUUUGCAAGAGAAUAUUAUUUAAUAGUUUUUAACUGAGAAAAAGUUCAAUCAUUUUAUAGUUUUAUUUUUAGUUUAAAUGAUUUUUAACAAACUAUUUAUAUUUUCUAAGUCUUCUUGUAUUCUUUUCUUACAAUCAUUGCUAAACAUAAAUUGGCCCUUCUCUUAAUGAAAUCAACUGCUGAGGACAUAGUCUUUUGAAGAAGGUUUACUUUAAAAAUAAUCAAGUCCAGAAAUGAUAUUGCAACAUCAUAUUCUCAUGGCACCUUAGUCAUAAUCCAAGAAAAUAUUGUUGUUAUUUGAAAACAUUAAGUACCUAUAAUAAUAUGUGUGGCAAUCUGGCUAAGGAGCAUAUUAAAAUCUACCCUGUUGAAAAUGCCAGGAAAAAUUAGUUUAUGGAAAACAAAAAGAGUUCCCAUCGUGGCUCAGCAGUUAACGAACCUG
Molecule: long non-coding RNA, 5293 nt
Filed under: Sus scrofa (pig)
Lineage: Eukaryota; Metazoa; Chordata; Mammalia; Artiodactyla; Suidae
Description: lncRNA (ENSSSCG00055021711.1)
Source: RNAcentral